Molecule: long non-coding RNA, 1469 nt
Filed under: Nicotiana tabacum (common tobacco)
Lineage: Eukaryota; Viridiplantae; Streptophyta; Magnoliopsida; Solanales; Solanaceae
Description: long non-coding RNA (NTAB_LNC016096)
Source: RNAcentral
UCAUAUAGGGCAAAAAUCACGUGCUUACAAUUAUUAAGAAAAAUUUUGCCGAAGUUGCGUGAACGCAUACUCCGAUCUUAAUUUUGGGACCUGUAAUUAUCACAAUAUGAAGACAGAAAUGAGAAUCCUUCAUUAGAAAUGGACUUAGUGAACUUAUCUAAUCCAAAAUGCCAACUAUUACUCAAUGAAACAGUAGCCAAGCUAUCUAAUUGAAAUUAAUUAACUGGAGAACAAUUACAAUUGGACAGUAACUUGCAACGGUCAAUUGACUGAAUUACAAAUGAAAAUGCCAAAGUAAAGUAGCUAAGAUAGGAUAAUUUUCUGGAAACAAUAGCGGCUAAGCAACCAAAUUGGCUGGAAAAAAAAAAGAAUCGAUCCUUGAUAUGUCACUUUAUUUUACUGAAAUUGAUGUUAGAUAUAUAAACUGAAUCUACUGAUGCCUUGCAGCAUGAAUUGCAUACAUAUAUUUGAAUGAAGAAGUCAUGAUCUAUUAGUACUGUUUUAAUCAGUGCACGACAAUGUUAGACCACAAAAAGUAUUCCUUCUAUUUCUCAUUUCUCUACUUAUCUCACCUUUCUUUGAAAUAAAACUAGUUAAUACUAAAAUGGAUCAGAUUAGGGUGUUACAUAUUAGCGAUAACUCAACUAAAUCGGGUUUCUGACUUUUGCUAUACUGGGCAAGGAAGAUAAGAAAAUUCUCAAUAUGACCACUGCCUCAUUGAACAAAUGAAACAAAUCAGACCAAACCUAUUGCUGAAGACUUAAUUUAAACGCUGUCAAACCAAACCCCAUAGCUCGUCGAACAAGUAUUUAUAGAAAACAGAAUAGACUAGAUGCUAACACAUUGCUCAAAGCAGAACAAGAGAUCGAUGCAUAAACCAGCAAAACUAAAGCCUACGCGAAUCCAACAGACCAUUUAAAUGCAAAGCAAACUUAAGAGAAUUAAAAUAGAAUACAUUCAUCAUCUCAAAACAUAGACAAAUUCUAAACAUUUAGUUUGUUUUAAUCCAAAGGUUUCAUCACAAUUUUAGUCAUACUUCAGAUAGAGGCAGAGAUAUGGACCUGAGAAAUUCUUAAUCAACAGAAAAUUAAAGGGACUUGGCGACGUGCUUGAAAUGAAAAACAAACUGCUAAAAAUCUUGAUUCAAUAGGAACCGCGACCAAAAACUCAACAACGGACCUCGAAUCGAUUUCUUUGAUUUGGGACUGGAAUGCUCGACUUCAAAACAAAAUCGAGCAGCUUGCCUCCAUAAAUUCCGAUAUGAGAAUGAACUGAAGCUUUGUGUAACAAGUAGUUCUGAAGCUCAGAGAAUCGAAUGGUAACUGACUGGUUAUGGGGGUAAAUUUUCGCCGGCUUCAGGCGAAUCUCGCUGGCGAUGGAGGUCUGGAGAUGCUGGUCUUGGAGAGGAGGGGUCUAGGCAUCUAGGUUUUUUGGUUGUAUUUUUUGUGUGUAUUUUCAGCUACUCUUAU